RNAcentral lists this ribosomal RNA (468 nucleotides) under uncultured bacterium. RNAcentral's name for it is "partial 16S ribosomal RNA". It matches the Rfam family "Bacterial small subunit ribosomal RNA", at positions 28 to 507 of the family's 1533-position model. The record is from RNAcentral.
GACGAACGCUGGCGGCGUGCUUAACACAUGCAAGUCGAACGGAAAGGCCCUGCUUUUGUGGGGUGCUCGAGUGGCGAACGGGUGAGUAACACGUGAGUAACCUGCCCUUGACUUUGGGAUAACUUCAUGAAACUGGGGCUAAUACCGGAUAGGAGCUCCUGCUGCAUGGUGGGGGUUGGAAAGUUUCGGCGGUUGGGGAUGGACUCGCGGCUUAUCAGCUUGUUGGUGGGGUAGUGGAUUACCAAGGCUUUGACGGGUAGCCGGCCUGAGAGGGUGACCGGCCACAUUGGGACUGAGAUACGGCCCAGACUCCUACGGGAGGCAGCAGUGGGGAAUAUUGCACAAUGGGCGGAAGCCUGAUGCAGCAACGCCGCGUGCGGGAUGACGGCCUUCGGGUUGUAAACCGCUUUCGCCUGUGACGAAGCGUGAGUGACGGUAAUGGGUAAAGAAGCACCGGCUAACUACGUG